UCAGUGACAUUGUAACCAGAUAUUUUAGAUUAACACCGUCCUACGCCAUAAUAAUCUUCUUUCAUGUUUGGAUCUUACCGCUUCUUGGUUCGGGACCCUUUUGGAAGCAUGAAAUCGUACACGAGAGCGAGGAAUGUGCCGCUAAUUGGUGGUCAAAUCUACUGUAUAUUAACAAUUAUGUAAAAUCAACAGAAAUGUGUAUGUUUCAAACGUGGUAUUUAGCCGUCGAUUUCCAGUUAUUUAUUCUUAGCCAACUUGUAAUUUACGCAUUUUGGCGUAUGCCUCGUAAAAUUGGAUAUUCUUUUCUUGGAACGCUAACAAUCAUCAGCUGUGCUAUACCAUUUUUUUUAACAUAUUCAUAUGGCGUAUCGCCUAUUUUUCUAUUUACGCUGCGAUAAAUUAUGCGUGUAUCAUUUAUAUAUAUAGCGUGUUUUGUGAAAUACCAUAUACAUAUAUUUAUGUUAUAUAUAUAUGUUAUAUAUGUUAUAUAAGAAGUACUUGUGCUAAUUUUCUAAAUGGUAUUUUAACGCAUAAUGUAAGAACUAAAGCAACCAAAAACGAAAAGACUGUGUCUGGAA
This is a long non-coding RNA of Formica exsecta, 578 nucleotides long. RefSeq lists it as uncharacterized. The record is from RefSeq and is a predicted model, not a curated record. The transcript is spliced from 3 exons. Lineage: Eukaryota; Metazoa; Arthropoda; Insecta; Hymenoptera; Formicidae.